GGAGGUUACUGCUAUCGGUGUCCGCCUAACCCAUGCAAGUCAUAUGUUCUUCGUGAACAUGGCGUACUGCUCAGUAACACGUGAAUAACCUGCCCUUGGGACCGGCAUAACCCCGGGAAACUGGGGAUAAUUCCGGAUACCGCAUAUAUGCUGGAAUGCUUUAUGCGUGAAAUGGAUUCGUCUGCCCAAGGAUGGGUCUGCGGCCUAUCAGGUAGUAGUGGGUGUAAUGUACCUACUACCCUACAACGGGUACGGGUUGUGAAAGCAAGAGCCCGGAAAUGGAUUCUGAAACAUGAAUCCAGGCCCUACGGGGCGCACCAGGCGCGAAAACUUUACAAUGCGGGAAACCGUGAUAAGGGGACACCGAGUGCCACCAACAUUUGUUGGCUGUCCAGGUGUGUAAACUACACCUGUUAGCAGGGGCCGGGCAAGACCGGUGC
RNAcentral lists this ribosomal RNA (440 nucleotides) under uncultured archaeon. Its description in RNAcentral is "bacterial SSU rRNA". It matches the Rfam family "Archaeal small subunit ribosomal RNA", at positions 19 to 458 of the family's 1478-position model. The record is from RNAcentral.